RNAcentral lists this transfer RNA (71 nucleotides) under Loxodonta africana (African savanna elephant). It matches the Rfam family "tRNA". Rfam says of the family: Transfer RNA (tRNA) molecules are approximately 80 nucleotides in length. The record is from Rfam by way of RNAcentral. Lineage: Eukaryota; Metazoa; Chordata; Mammalia; Proboscidea; Elephantidae.
GCAAUGGUGGUUCAGUGGUAGAAUUCUCACCUUUCAUGGGGGAGACCAAGGUUUGAUUCCUGGUCAAGGCA